UGAGGGAGAGAGAGAAUAAUGACUGAAGAAACUGAUAGAAAAUACUGAGAGAGAGAGAGAAAAAGUAAGACUUUUGUCGACAGUAAACUGAACACAAGUAAUUCUCUUUCUAAUUGCGCAAUGUUCACUUUCGACAAAUAAUCGAAAGUAAUUUUAUUCUCUCUUUCUUUUAUUUUGUAUUCUUUUUCAUUUUCGUCUACUCUCUCUCUCUCUCUCACUGUCUCCAUUUCUUUAAUAAUCUUCUCCAAGCUCAUCAUUUCUUGUGCUCGUUCUUUUCAUCAUUUAAUUUCUCCUUCGCUGCCUUUACCUUCAAUUCCUAAAUCACAUUCUGUUGAUUUCUUGGUGAUUUUGUGCUUUUUCCUUCAAUCGCCUUUAACCUUUCACCUCAUUUCCAAUUCGAUCCAAGGAUCCGAUUAACUUCACCUUCAUCUUCAAAAUGGAUUACAAAAACUCUGAGCUCUCCUUGAUUCUGGUCAUGUCCGCCUUCAUGGUCGUCAUGAUAAUCGGGGCCUUUUUCUUGGCCGUAGGUCUCAGGAUGUGUUAUCCGAAACAAAACAAACCAUUAGGACCAGGAAGUGCUUAGAACAAUCAAUUCAUUUGUAAUGUAGUAACAACGAUCCAAUAUCGAUAAAACUUCACGGGUUUAACAAGUUCAUCAAGUGGAAUUUUAUUCUUAAUCUCUAAUCCAUCUAAUCCAUCUAAUAUCUUCUUUCUUUCCUUUGAUAUCCUAACGGAAGUGUUGAAGUGUCGAGAUAUUGAGAAUCAAUCAAAGGCACCAAGGAUGAAACAACUUCUAUUAGCAUUUAUUUCAUGAUCAUGAUCUAUGAUCACAAUUAUCAUGUUGACGGAUUAACUUUUUCGCUCAAAUUUUCCUCUUUUCGAGUGAUGUUUAUGCUUUUUUCAAAUUCAAAUUCUCAAUUUGGAUCAUUUUCUCUCUUUCUAUCCCCCUCUCUCUCACUCACUCUAUCGAUAUUAUCUAGUUGAUUAUGUUAACCUCGAUUCACUUCAAGCUUUGAUUACAAUUAAUUGUCAGACCAACAAAAAGCCGAAGGAUAAACAUCAUCAUCUUUACAAUUGAUUACCAGAUAACAAACAUUACCAAAUAUGAGAAACAUUUGAUAAUUUAAUUAGUUUUUUGUUCACAAUCAACUAGAAUCAAAUUGAUAACAAACGCAACCACAAACGCUAUUGAACUUCCUAUUGUAAAUCAACUUAACAAUAUCUUCACAUGGAAAUACAAUAAAAUACAAAUCUAUUACUAA
Molecule: long non-coding RNA, 1262 nt
Organism: Panonychus citri (citrus red mite)
Lineage: Eukaryota; Metazoa; Arthropoda; Arachnida; Trombidiformes; Tetranychidae
Exons: 2
Source: RefSeq, a predicted model, not a curated record